RNAcentral lists this long non-coding RNA (1371 nucleotides) under Equus caballus (horse). Its description in RNAcentral is "lncRNA (ENSECAG00000047293.1)". The record is from RNAcentral. Lineage: Eukaryota; Metazoa; Chordata; Mammalia; Perissodactyla; Equidae.
AAUCGAUUUCCAAUGCAGAAGCAUUGGGCAGGAUGGCUGGACAGUUGAGCACAGGUUUGGAAGUCAAGAGAAAUGGACGCUCACCCUGACUCUCUCUCCUGGUGUUCUAGGAGAGGUGUCGUCUGUGCCCUGGAUCCUCAGUCUCUGUGAUGCAGGAUCAUAUAACUUUUUCCCCUGAAGUCUUGAGCAUCCUGGGUAGGAGGGGGAGGACAAGGAGAUGCUGGCAGGAAGUCCUUUUCUGGAUCAGGUUGUAGCCCCAAGACAGAGCAUGUGGGUUUCCCCACCGAGCCAGGCAGAAGGGCCACCAUGUGACUGUGACAGCCAACCUCCAGGGGUCUCUGGGAGCCCUUUGGGCUUCUCUGAAGAUAUUUUUCCUGUCCUCCUACCAAACCUGACCCGGGGAUUAGUAGGAUGCUUAUUGUAAAGAUCUCUUUCUUCUUUUGAAUAUGUACCCAUCUAAUAUAGCUUUCACUGAAAAUUUAUGUCCAAAUGGCUAAAGUUUCUAAGAACCUAGUGAAUAUGGCAAAUCCCUCUUCACAAUCAACAGUUUCAGCAAUGGAGUUAUUUAACGUGGCUCAGAGAAGUGGUGAAGAGUUUCUGAGGUUAGCUUUGCCUCCUGCCCCCAACAGAGCAGUUGGCACCAUCGUGAAUUAAGUUUUUCUCCCACAGCAUCACUGUAUCUCAUAGCAUAAGUUGGAAAUGAUGGGGGAACCCCAAUUUUCUCUUAAAUGAAAAAGACUUGCCCAUUCCUGGCUCGUCUAAAUGUACAGUAUGUAUGAUUCUCGUUUUUUGUUUUGAUUCAGGAAGAUUUGCCCUGAGCUAACAUCUGUUGCCAAUCUUCUUUAUUUUUUAUGUGAGCCGCCACCGCAGCAUGGCCGCUGACAGACGAGUGGUGCGGUUCUGUGCCUGGGGACUGAACCCAAGCUGCCAAUGUGGAGCCCACAGAACUUCACCCAGUAGGCCCUUGGGGCUGGUGCCGUAUGAUUCUUUAUUCACCACCAGCAGCAUGGUCUCUUCCCUUUGCCCAUAUCAACUGUCAACUGUGUUCUGCGGGCAUCUCUCCAUCCCCUCAGCCUCCCCUCAGCCUCCUUCCAGCCCCCACAGCGCCCUGUGUUGGAUGUCUACUUGCACAUGCCUCCCCAGAGGGCCAGCCAUCCUGAGAGAGAGGUCCUCACUUACUAAGAGGGGUACAAAGAUCAGCUCUGGGGGCAUAUAAAGGGAAUGCCUGUGCUACUGGGGGACACGGAGAAAGCUGGGGGAAGGGCCGACAGGAGGGAAGGAAUCAAGAAUUCUGGUGUUGCCAUGUUCAGUUUGAGAGGCCUCUUAGACAUCCAGGAAGCAAAGUCAAGUUGGCAGUUAUCGAAAGUCAAG